UACGUAGGGUGCAAGCGUUGUCCGGAAUUAUUGGGCGUAAAGAGCGUGUAGGCGGCCCGAUUAGUCCGCUGUGAAAGUCCAGGGCUCAACCCUGGAAUGCCGGUGGAUACUGUCAGGCUAGAGUGCAGAAGGGGCAAUCGGAAUUCUUGGUGUAGCGGUGAAAUGCGUAGAUAUCAAGAGGAACACCUGAGGUGAAGACGGGUUGCUGGGCUGACACUGACGCUGAGGCGCGAAAGCCAGGGGAGCAAACGGG
RNAcentral lists this ribosomal RNA (253 nucleotides) under uncultured bacterium. Its description in RNAcentral is "partial 16S ribosomal RNA". It matches the Rfam family "Bacterial small subunit ribosomal RNA", at positions 524 to 776 of the family's 1533-position model. The record is from RNAcentral.